GAUGAACGCUGGCGGCGUGCCUAAUACAUGCAAGUCGAGCGAACGGACGAGAAGCUUGCUUCUCUGAUGUUAGCGGCGGACGGGUGAGUAACACGUGGAUAACCUACCUAUAAGACUGGGAUAACUUCGGGAAACCGGAGCUAAUACCGGAUAAUAUUUUGAACCGCAUGGUUCAAAAGUGAAAGACGGUCUUGCUGUCACUUAUAGAUGGAUCCGCGCUGCAUUAGCUAGUUGGUAAGGUAACGGCUUACCAAGGCAACGAUGCAUAGCCGACCUGAGAGGGUGAUCGGCCACACUGGAACUGAGACACGGUCCAGACUCCUACGGGAGGCAGCAGUAGGGAAUCUUCCGCAAUGGGCGAAAGCCUGACGGAGCAACGCCGCGUGAGUGAUGAAGGCCUUCGGAUCGUAAAACUCUGUUAUUAGGGAAGAACAUAUGUGUAAGUAACUGUGCACAUCUUGACGGUACCUAAUCAGAAAGCCACGGCUAACUACGUG
This 497-nucleotide ribosomal RNA is filed under the name uncultured bacterium. RNAcentral's name for it is "partial 16S ribosomal RNA". It matches the Rfam family "Bacterial small subunit ribosomal RNA", at positions 28 to 507 of the family's 1533-position model. The record is from RNAcentral.